RNAcentral lists this ribosomal RNA (468 nucleotides) under uncultured bacterium. RNAcentral's name for it is "partial 16S ribosomal RNA". It matches the Rfam family "Bacterial small subunit ribosomal RNA", at positions 28 to 507 of the family's 1533-position model. The record is from RNAcentral.
GACGAACGCUGGCGGCGUGCCUAAUACAUGCAAGUCGAACGGAAAGGCCCUGCUCUUGUGGCUCUCUCGUGAGCCGAGCACGUGAGUGACACGCGUGUAUCAUCUCCCUGUCUUUGGGGUAUAACCUGGGGAAACGGGCUCUAAUCCGGUAUAAGCUCUUGCAGCACGGUGGUGAUUGGUAAGAUUCGGCGGUUGGGGAUGGAUUCGCGGCUUAUCCGCUUGUUGGGGUGGUAGUGACUUACCAAGGCUUUGACGGAUAGCCGGCCUGAGAGGGUGACCGGCCACAAUGGGACUGAGAUAGGGCCCAGACGCGAACGGGAGGCAGCAGUGGGAAGUAUGGCGCAAUGGGCGGAAGCCUGAUGCAGCAACGCCGCGUGCGGGAUGACGGCUUUCGGGUUAUAAACCGCUUUCGCCUGAGACGAAGCGUGAGUGACGGUAACGGGUAAAGAAGCAACGGCUAACUACGUG